This 626-nucleotide ribosomal RNA is filed under the name Lysobacteraceae bacterium Se3Pw_3629. Its description in RNAcentral is "bacterial SSU rRNA". It matches the Rfam family "Bacterial small subunit ribosomal RNA", at positions 391 to 1008 of the family's 1533-position model. Lineage: Bacteria; Pseudomonadati; Pseudomonadota; Gammaproteobacteria; Lysobacterales; Lysobacteraceae. The record is from RNAcentral.
GCCAUACCGCGUGGGUGAAGAAGGCCUUCGGGUUGUAAAGCCCUUUUGUUGGGAAAGAAAUCCCACCGGCUAAUACCUGGUUGGGAUGACGGUACCCAAAGAAUAAGCACCGGCUAACUUCGUGCCAGCAGCCGCGGUAAUACGUAGGGUGCAAGCGUUACUCGGAAUUACUGGGCGUAAAGCGUGCGUAGGUGGUUGUUUAAGACUGAUGUGAAAUCCCUGGGCUCAACCUGGGAACUGCAUUGGAAACUGGACAACUGGAGUGUGGUAGAGGGUAGCGGAAUUCCCGGUGUAGCAGUGAAAUGCGUAGAGAUCGGGAGGAACAUCCAUGGCGAAGGCAGCUCCCUGGACCAGCACUGACACUGAGGCACGAAAGCGUGGGGAGCAAACAGGAUUAGAUACCCUGGUAGUCCACGCCCUAAACGAUGCCAACUGGAUGUUGGGUGCAGUUAGGCCCGCAGUAACGAAGCUAACGCGUUAAGUUCACCGCCUGGGGAGUACGGUCGCAAGACUGAAACUCAAAGGAAUUGACGGGGGCCCGCACAAGCGGUGGAGUAUGUGGAUUAAUUCGAUGCAACGCGAAGAACCUUACCUGGCCUUGACAUGUCUAGAACUUUCCAGAGAUG